GUGUGCAGGGGUCGGAGUGUGUGUGCGUGUUGGGGGGGGGGUGUCCGUGUUUGUGAUCUGAACCUUUGGUACCUACAAGGAGGGUGUCUCACCGAACGGUAGCUAAAACCUCACCAGGACCGCACGGAACUGUGGAGACACAGCCGAAGGCGCCGCUGGAGCUUCAUGAAUCUGGGCCAGACCCCAGACCCAGCGUUGCAAGGAUCCCCCCGCCCGGAUCACAGCAUGAGCUCGCAUCAGGGUCCUGUCUCCACUGUGGUUAUCCGUCUAAACUCCCUUCUCUUCAGGCAUCGCAUCUAAGCUGCAACCUGGGCCCGGAAGUGAGGAAUAUACUUCGGUCUGCACUAGUGCUAAAACCACGGACAGCAGUGAUGUCAAGUCUUGAGGUUACGGUGUGAAUCACGAGUUUUUCGCUGAUGGAGAUUGAUGGAUUGGUGGAAGCGCUGGUGACACAGAAUCUGUUUCUAAGAAGAUGUGGUUUCGUAAUGGAGAGCUACAUAAUGUGACCAAAUUUGGGGCACACAGCAGCGUUCCACAGUUAUCGCUCUUCAUUUCCUGGAUGUAAUACAUCAGAAGAAAAUUCUGCAGUCCAUCCUCAUCGAGGGUUGAUGUGAUACAAUGCAAGUCUUGCUUUGGUUAUAAAUGAAGAUUAAUAAAAGAUAACACUGGGAUGCUGUGUUCAGAUAUGUUAUAUCUGAAACUCCAGUUUCUUAAACUGUGGGUGGCAGCCUUAUUUGGGGUUCCAUAACUCAAAGCGGGAGUCACAAAAAUGUUCUCAAAUGUAAAUGUUUCUAAAUGCACAAUGACAAGAAAAUGAAUGCAAAAUAAGACAUAAAAAAAAUCUUAGCUUUCUGGAAGUGCUCACCCACAUUGCAUUUUGUAAAUUCAUUGUGCCUUUAACUCUCAACAAAUAAUGUGCACUUAUACUGUGCCUGUUGUCACACUGCCUACACCUAUGAGCACUGAACACCAUAGCUCGGAUUGCUGAGUUAUUGCACUGUUUCAUUGUACAUACGAUGUUUUCUGCUUUCCCAGAAAUAUGGUGGUUUAAUUAUGGAAAACAAAGAUCAUUAUUAUUUUUCUGCCAUCAUUUCUUAGCCUGUAUCAAAUUAAUAUACCUUGCAUUAUCUGUGUUGGAAUGUUUGAUUUGAGACUGCUCAUUGAUUUACUGACUUGAGUUUCAUAAAAAAAAAAAUUGUUGAAGAGAAUUUCAUUUUUUGAUUAGGACAGUCCUUCCAAUAAUUUCUGAGGUGGUCCUGAACAUACUUCUGCCAUUUCAUGUUUAUUCAGAGUGGUGUUCUCUACAUUAAAGAUUGUUGAGCAACUCUGAUAAAAAAAAAUCUGCAUCCUAGAGUACCACAUACACAGCCAAGGUAACUUUAUGCAAAAAAACAUAAGCACAUCAUCUUAUUAAUGUAUACAUUUGCUUUCAUUUUAAAUGAAUCAUCAAAUUACAUAGAUGCCAAAGAAUUCUUUUAAGAAAAUUCUUGGUGAUUUAUUGUCUGUAAAUGUUUUGUGUGUAUGCCUAUUUUAUAUACCUUCAUAAGCAACAUUGUGUAAAUGUUUGUUGGGUGAAUAGGGGUCGCAAGAACAAAGUUUAAGCAGCCCUGCACUAGAUCAAGGUGACACAUUCCACUCUCUGUGUAGAGCUUUCUUUUAUAAGCGUGUGUCAUAGAAGUCCUCUCAAGUGUCAUUAUUGGUUGUGCUGGCUUUUAUGUCUUGUUUUCUUUUGGGAGGCCUGUGUUUCCUCAGGGAUGGCGCAGUUUUCUGAGGUUCUUAAGAGUAUAAUGGAAUUGCAGCCUUGCAAAGGCCCCCAUUGUCACCAGAUUGCUUUACUGUUUGAUGAUUCUUUCUUCCUCCUCUUCAUGUUGUCUAGUGCCCACAUUCUGGUUCUUUCACGCACCAUGCAAAUAAAAGUAGUAAAUGUAAUUUCUAUUCUUACUGGAGACCAUGCACAAAUAGGCUGACUAACCCAGAGAAUUUGUUUACAAUCAUGUCCGGCCUAAUGAUGACGAUGCAGCCCAGUGACCAUCAUUCACUUACUCAUUUUGGCAUUGAUUUUUCUUAUGCCUUUUUUUCAUGGCAUUUAAAAAAGCUCUCACAGUCUAUAGAGGAGGAAUGCUGCACAAUCACAGAGAUACUUUGAUUCCCAGAUUCAUCAUAUUGUCAAAAGGAAAUCGAGUUGUCAGUAUACAAAAAGCCACACCUACUUUUAACUGAAACUAUUGGCUUCAUGUAAAUGCUAUAGUGAAACCUUUUUCAUGGAAAUCCACUUUUAAAUGUUUAUAUACUUUAAGCAAAGGUUAGCAAUGUUCUGUAUCAAGAAUAUGAUUUUCCCCAAACAACUUUUCUAUAAAAGCUAAAUUCUCAGUGAGGAAAGCAUAAAAUAAACAUAAUGUCAAGGUUUCACCUUAAAACUGGAAAUAAUGUAUAAGAUUUGAGAAAAGUACAUUUGUCUACAAUUGAGGUUGUUUUGAGAUAAACCUAUUUGUAACAAAGAUCAAAAUUAUUUAUUCAUAUCUUCAAUAUCAUCCAGCCAAAUGCUACUUAAUGUCUUCUAAUGUCUAUUUCAUUUUCACUCAAGUAGAGGCAGAUAUGCUUUCCCCCUCCAAAAAACCAUGGUAACCCAAUUUUCCUCUGUCUCUGCUCAGCACUUCCCCAUUUUUGUGAGCUGUGAUUCUUCAUAUUUUUAGUUUAGUUUUAUGAAAACUUCCAGAAAUGGCAUUUUAAAAAUUAUACUGCCCGUUUAACUUCACCUCCACCAAUUGUAAAAAAAUUGCAAAGUGAACACUAUGGAAAAACUAAAAGCACAGUGAUCACUAGAUUUGGCUCUAUAAACAUUAGUAAUAUGUGUAAAAACAUCAGAGCAUUUAUUACAUCUCCUCUGCAAUAUAUUUUUUCCUGUCUCUGAAAACAGGCUUUAUAUAGUCCCAUUUUUAAUGUCUUAUUUAAUAGAGAUUGCAUAAUACCUUAAAAGACAUUCUUAUUUGAAUUAUUAUUGCUCUAAAGUUAUUUCUGAAGUCUGUCUUCCAUUCUCUUUUAUUCAACUGCAGAUUUUGGACUGUCUUAAAAAUUAAAAUUUCUUAUAAGUUAUCUCAUAUAUCAUUGUAGUUGAUCUCAAGAUUUCAUCUUUCCUAAGUGCAUAAUUUAAAUUUACAGACAACCAAGAUUUCCUUUAACUCUUCCUCUUUGAAAGAAUGAUGUGGAGGCUCUCACUUAAAUAUUGCAUCUUUGGUGUCUAAAACACUCAUCAAAAUGACCAUGCCCUGAGUAGAGCUGUUGAUUUUCCUCUUUUAAUCCAAUCCCAAAAUAGAAAGGUGCAUAUUGUCCAUCCAUUAACCCUUCCUUUUCCUCUGCCGUAUCACAUAUUUAAUCUCAUAUAAAUCCUAGAGUUUGUAAAUCUGAAAUGUAAUCUGAAUCCAUCCAUAUAUUUUACCCUGCUGACAGCACUCUUAUUCCUUGCCUGCCUUUCCUAACCCUUUCCUUCCUUCCCACACUGCUUCUAAGUUAUUUUUCACAAAGCAGCCUGAGUGCUCUUUUGAACAUGGAAUCAGAUCAUGUCACUACCCAUGUGAACUCUCACAGGGCUUUCUGAUUCCACCUAAAGUAAAAUCCAAAUUACCUGGUUUACGAAGUCUGGCUGUCAUUGCAAUCUCGCGUGAUGUCCAUUCACAUUCUCCCCAGCCACCCUGGCACCCCGCUAGCACUGGACAGUGUUAUAGCGCAGACAUAGGGUUUUCCCUUUUCUAUGAAGAAUGAGCAUUUUGACAUCAAGUUCUUUUAACCUCCCCUCCCUUGUGUCUAAUUCUCUACAUUUCACAGGGCUAGAUUUUCCUUCUUUGAGUCAUAGCUUGAAUGACCAUUAUUUUGGGUCUUUCCCAAAAUACUAAACCAAAAGGUGACCUUUCUUUGAAUAUAUAAAUCAUUCUUUAUAAUGCCCAUUCAAACAUACAACUAACUUAUGCAAUUUAGCAAUUUCUUGUUUAUUAGUAUGCUCUUAACAGAGUAUCAGCUUCAACACAGUCGUUGGCCAUUUCUCUAAGGAUUGUUGCUUACUUUUAGUGAGAAGAGAUUCUUAGAAACCAAGAUAUGGAUGCUAAAUAGGCACGCCCUGCAGGGAGCUACUGCUCCUUUCCCUCACAGUGGGCAGAACCUCAAUCUACCAGCACACAUCUCUUAACAUGUCAUACAUUUAAAUUUCUCUCUGCUGUUAUUAAAAACUGUGACCUAUAAGCUUGAUGUGGUGGCUUACACUGAUCAUUCAGCACCUGGGAUGUGGGGAAAGGAGGAUUAGGAGCUCAAAGCCAUCCUUAACUACAGAAGUCCCAAUCUCAAAACAGAACAAACAAACCAAAACACAGCAAAGACAAUGGUUCAUAUUCUUUCAGAAAUAUAUCACAGAGUGAAGAAAUAUUCUGUGUUAAAGGAAACAAUGAAAAUUUGUGUCUCAAGACAAAGUGUCAUUCACACAAAGAUUUUUGGUUGGGAAAAAGGUAGAAUUUUUAUCAGUAUUGUGAUAGAUAUGUAGUUUCAAUAUAGGCAGAGCUGACUCACACUGACUGUGGAUUGUGGUUUAGGUAAGAACAUUGAAUAGAUGUCAGUGUCUUCCCUAUGAUUGUUGUGCUGAGGUUUCUCUCUUGAGGGUUUCCUUCUCAGGAACCUAAGUCUUUGGAAUAAAAUGUCCUCAUUAUCUGUAUCUACACUUUAGUGCAUCUCUCUCACACACUAACCAACUCUUGCUUAUCACUGAAAGAAAGAGAAUAAAUCAUUACCAAACAGAACAAGCUACAAAUAACUGAGUAACACUAAAAGGAUACAGCUGCUAUAUGCUCUACAUCUUUCUCAUUUUAUACACAAAGUACAAAACUUAACACAAAGUCUUUAAAAUAGGCAUGUUUCUCUCCAUGGUCUUCCCUUGCACAGUGAACAUGUAAACUGCAUUUUUUUCUUUUUUCAAGUAAAAAGUAAGUAACUUCAAGAAAUAGCAAAUGGUCUCUGUCCAUGUUACCCUGAUACAGAAGCUGAGCAGGGUUGCCUUGGUUGGUACUUGGGAGAAACAACCUUGUGUACAGUGUGCAGAGGCAGACAUUUUGCAAAGCACUGAUGGUAUCAAUGUUCCUUUCCCUUUCAUAAAUUUUAUAACUACAUUAUCUGAUCACUAUUAGUCCACUAGGUGCAAAGCUGCACAGUAGAAAAUUAUGGCUUAGGAUAUUUUUUUCCAUCCUAAACGAGUUAUAUUUGCCUCAAGCAAGUUUCAAGAUGAUUCUAGUCAAGUGACUUAGCAAAUUCUUAAGCUAUCAUCUUUCCUGCCCAACCCUUUCUGUUAUCUUGUCUCCAAUUACUUCACCCAUAUGAUUACAAAGCUAAGAUUUCUAUGGACUAUCUGUAUCGAAGGAUCAGGGCACAGAAUGAUAAACCUCUUAACAUAAACUUAAUUCUGAUUCUUUCCCCAGAUUAAAGUAUCUUAGCAACCUGUGAAGUGUGGUAUCUGCUGAUCCUGUGCUUCUGAGCCCUUUGGUGACCCCUUGAACUGACCUUAUACCUGUGUGUUUUCCUUUUGUUGGCUUUGUUGGUUAGGGUUACAUAAAAUGAGAUGAGCAAACAUAUAGUGGUGUGAUGACACAUACUUAAGUGUGCUUGGCCUUUAACAGCAAAAUUGGCUGAUUAUAAACUUACAGACCGAUUUCUUUAUUCCUGUGCUUUGUCUCUUGGGAAUUCCAGGGCUUGCUUGGCUACAUGGGGGAUGGAGCUGAGCAAUAUGAGUUUGUUUUUAGCUAGAUGAGGUUUAAGAUGAAAGAAGAGCCAAAGGGGUCUUGGCCAGUGACACAAAGGCUCUGGUUUCCUUGACAUGACCAUUGUUUCUGUUGCUUUCAGGAUGGAUGACUAAUCUAAAGACAACAUCAGACAAUUAGAAAAAAAAAGAUAAAAAUCAAAGUACCACUCUCCAUCCAAUCGAGAAAUAAACUUUUACACAUUUCAAACCUUUUCUUUACUUUGGUUUUGUGUGAUGGGCCACUGAAUCUCAGUCUCCUUGCUUGAAUCCUCCUCAUCUUCUUGACUAAAUGGGCUGCUGCAGGUUCAGUCCUUAAAACUAUGCUUUUUCAUUGAUUCACUGGAGCUGAAUGUCUUCCUAUGGCCAGAAAUAUUAUCUAUUUUUAUUAUGGUUACUUAUUAUUAUCGUUGCUGUGGGUAUGCUAAUACACUAAAGCUUGACUAUGGAGGUCAAAAGACAGCUCCAGGCCAGCGGCUCCCCGUUUCACCUCAGACUCUGAAGAUCAAACUCAGGUCCUCAAGCUUUCACAGCCAGGCUUUUUACUCACCGCCCAUCUGGCUGGUCCUCAUCUAUCCUUUCAAUAUUCCUUUUUCUUCUUCUGUAGUCUAGACCACUGCAUACUUGGAUUCAAGACUCUAUUCAGAGACACUGUAGUCUCCAGACAGAGAUAUAUAACCAUCACUCAAACCUUCAAACGUUCAAAAGUUUAACUCUUAAAAAUCUGUGAUUUCAUCCAGAGAAACCCAGCUUCAGUAUAGGACUUCUCUAUUCUUCCCAUCACUAUGGAAUAAUUUUGGACUAUUCUUUCUCUUCAGCACAGCUGUUCCAAAUCAUUGACCGGGAAGGAUCACAUGCUUUCCCAUGACUUGAAAUAUCAUCUAUUCUUGAAAUAAUAUUUUCAAAAUAAAGUAAAAUAAAAAAAACCUUCCAAUUUUCAUCAUCGUCAUCAUUAUCACUCUAGUCUAAAUACAAGAUAUCACAUCAGAAUUACAGUUAUACCCUCCCGUAUUCACACAAGAAUCCAUGUUUCAAGCUCAGGAGUGAAGAGCUGAAACUACAGAUAGUACUGGAACCAUAUAACUAAAUAUUUUUUUCAUUUAACAGACAGCAAACUUUUUUUAAAAAUCAUGAAUAAAGGCAAAUUCAGCAUGAGAUUCCCCCCCCCUUUUCCUUAUUCAGUUCAGACUUCUCAUGCUUUCACAGAAUGGAAGGACUUUACAACUUUACCUCUAAUGGUACAAAAUGCUCACCCCACUGCUCAGGCUUUGGUGCCAUCAUGAAGACCUUGAAGACAAGUGGUGCUGUAUGAUUCCAGUGGAUGUGAACUCUGAGAUGGUUUCUACCUGACUAACUUAUGGACAAGGUACAUCUUUGGUCUAGGUAUACUUGACAAAGAAGAGUCACUCUGGUGCCCAGAAUUUAAAGCAUGAACUGUUUAUCAAUAAAAUUUCACAGCCAGGCUUUUUACAGAUUGUGGUUAUGAGAUUGUGGUUACAUGCAGUACCAAAACUAAGGCACUCAAAGCUGCCAGUAAGAAGGGGUUAUUUUAUGGCAAUAGCUAUGUAUUUAUUGCCUCCAUGCCACUCCAUUCUUCUCAAAUCACAUUGCAAGUCCAGUUGCCUUUGUAUUUUUAUUGUUUGGAAAUUUCAUACAUGUACAAAAUAUGUUUUGAUCAAAUCCAGGAAGCCCAUUCCCUCCCCUCAAAUUCCUCUUCUGUCACAGAUCAGUCCUUUCCCCUCCCAACUUCAUUUGCUUUUAAAAAUAAACAACUAAUUGCAUUCACUUAGUGUUGCCUGCAUGUGCACUGGUUUAGGACCAUCUGUGGAGCAUGGCUAGCCUCUGGAGGGCUGUAUCCCUGAAGAAAACGGACUCCUCCUCUCCUAGUGGGCAUCAAUUGCCAAUAGCUACUCAGUUAGCAAGGGACAUCAUGAACCUUGCUGAAGAUCUUGCCUGGUUUGAGAUUGUGCAGGUCUUGUGGAUGCAAUCACAACUGUUUUGAGUUCAUGUGUGCAAAGGCCCAGUCAUGUCCCACAAAUACUGUUUCCAUGAAGACAUGUAUUAUCUUUGGCCAUUUCAGCCCUCCCACCCCUCUCCCAUAGAAAUCCUUGUGCCUUCCAGGGACUGGGUGUGUUAGAUGUUCUUUUAGAGUUGAGCACUGCACAUUCUCUUAUUCACUUUGGGUUAACUAGCUGGGUCUCUGCACUAAUUGCCGUCUACUGCAACCAUCCUUUAAAACUACAGUUUAAAUCAUGCAAUUCCUUUGCUCUACCUCCUCAAUGGCUGGUUAUGUCUCCUGCUUGAAACACCUACCCAGUACUGGUCCUCACCCCUUUAUACAUCUUAUUCCACAUUCACUGCUCUGUCAGACACCCCAUUUGCUGGUUAUUAGACAAACGAAACAGAAUUUGAUCAGAGCACUUUAGAAUUUACUGUUUCUCAGCCUUCACUGGACUCUGCUUCUUUGGCUUAUGGACAGAUAGCAGCUUUCCAGAACAUCCCACCACGAACUCUUAUCUAAAGCGGCUGUCCAGUUACUGGUCACCACCCACUCCAUUUCCUGUCAAUUCUUUGUUCUUAGCACUCAUCCUGCAGUUUUCUUGUUCAUCAUUUCUCUGAUAGUACCUAGGGCAGCAAUGCCAUUGGUACUUUCCUCUGUGUGAAGGACAGUUUCAGGUGUCCUUCAUAUGAUUAAAAACUACUCGUUGAAUAAAAUAAUUGUAUAUCACUAUGUGACAGGACAGUAAUAAAACUUUGAGGUGUUCAUACACUACAAUUCAUAAUUUAAAUAAGUUCUGAGAUUA
This is a long non-coding RNA of Peromyscus leucopus (white-footed mouse), 8574 nucleotides long. RefSeq lists it as uncharacterized. Lineage: Eukaryota; Metazoa; Chordata; Mammalia; Rodentia; Cricetidae. The transcript has 4 exons. The record is from RefSeq and is a predicted model, not a curated record.